UACAGAGGGGGCAAGCGUUGUUCGGAAUUACUGGGCGUAAAGGGCGCGUAGGCGGCCCGCUAAGUCGAACGUGAAAUCCCCGAGCUCAACUCGGGAACUGCGUCCGAUACUGGUGGGCUUGAAUCCGGGAGAGGGAUGCGGAAUUCCAGGUGUAGCGGUGAAAUGCGUAGAUAUCUGGAGGAACACCGGUGGCGAAGGCGGCGUUCUGGACUGCAACUGACACUGAGGAACGAAAGCCAGGGGAGCAAACGGG
RNAcentral lists this ribosomal RNA (253 nucleotides) under uncultured bacterium. RNAcentral describes it as "partial 16S ribosomal RNA". It matches the Rfam family "Bacterial small subunit ribosomal RNA", at positions 524 to 776 of the family's 1533-position model. The record is from RNAcentral.